Molecule: ribosomal RNA, 468 nt
Filed under: uncultured bacterium
Lineage: Bacteria
Description: partial 16S ribosomal RNA
Rfam family: Bacterial small subunit ribosomal RNA
Source: RNAcentral
GACGAACGCUGGCGGCGUGCUUAACACAUGCAAGUCGAACGGAAAGGCCCUGCUUUUGUGGGGUGCUCGAGUGGCGAACGGGUGAGUAACACGUGAGUAACCUGCCCUUGACUUUGGGAUAACUUCAGGAAACUGGGGCUAAUACCGGAUAGGAGCUCCUGCUGCAUGGUGGGGGUUGGAAAGUUUCGGCGGUUGGGGUUGGACUCGCGGCUUAUCAGCUUGUUGGUGGGGUAGUGGCUUACCAAGGCUUUGACGGGUAGCCGGCCUGAGAGGGUGACCGGCGACAUGGGGACUGAGAGACGGCCCAGACUCCUACGGGAGGCAGCAGUGGGGAAUAUUGCACAAUGGGCGGAAGCCUGAUGCAGCAACGCCGGGUGCGGGAUGACGGCCUUCGGGUGGUAAACCGCUUUCGCCUGUGACGAAGCGUGAGUGACGGUAAUGGGUAAAGAAGCACCGGCUAACUACGUG